UCCCCAGUAGCUCAGAUGGUAAAGCAUCUGCCUACAACACAGGAGACCUGGGUUUGAUCCCUGGGUUGGGAA
RNAcentral lists this transfer RNA (72 nucleotides) under Ovis aries (sheep). It matches the Rfam family "tRNA". From Rfam's summary of the family: Transfer RNA (tRNA) molecules are approximately 80 nucleotides in length. Their secondary structure includes four short double-helical elements and three loops (D, anti-codon, and T loops). Lineage: Eukaryota; Metazoa; Chordata; Mammalia; Artiodactyla; Bovidae. The record is from Rfam by way of RNAcentral.